CCUUCCGUAAGGGUGAACCUGCGGAAGGAUCAUUA
RNAcentral lists this ribosomal RNA (35 nucleotides) under Aspergillus fumigatus. Its description in RNAcentral is "partial 18S ribosomal RNA". The record is from RNAcentral. Lineage: Eukaryota; Fungi; Ascomycota; Eurotiomycetes; Eurotiales; Aspergillaceae.